RNAcentral lists this ribosomal RNA (261 nucleotides) under uncultured bacterium. RNAcentral describes it as "partial 16S ribosomal RNA". It matches the Rfam family "Bacterial small subunit ribosomal RNA", at positions 793 to 1055 of the family's 1533-position model. The record is from RNAcentral.
GUCCACGCCGUAAACGAUGUCGAUUUGGAGGCUGUGUCCUUGAGACGUGGCUUCCGGAGCUAACGCGUUAAAUCGACCGCCUGGGGAGUACGGCCGCAAGGUUAAACUCAAAUGAAUUGACGGGGCCCGCACAAGCGGUGGAGCAUGUGGUUUAAUUCGAUGCAACGCGAAGAACCUUACCUGGCCUUGACAUGUCUGGAAUCCUGCAGAGAUGCGGGAGUGCCUUCGGGAAUCAGAACACGGGUGCUGCAUGGCUGUCGU